Molecule: ribosomal RNA, 474 nt
Filed under: Escherichia coli
Lineage: Bacteria; Pseudomonadati; Pseudomonadota; Gammaproteobacteria; Enterobacterales; Enterobacteriaceae
Description: bacterial SSU rRNA
Rfam family: Bacterial small subunit ribosomal RNA
Source: RNAcentral
GCUGUCGUCAGCUCGUGUUGUGAAAUGUUGGGUUAAGUCCCGCAACGAGCGCAACCCUUAUCCUUUGUUGCCAGCGAUUCGGUCGGGAACUCAAAGGAGACUGCCAGUGAUAAACUGGAGGAAGGUGGGGAUGACGUCAAGUCAUCAUGGCCCUUACGACCAGGGCUACACACGUGCUACAAUGGCGCAUACAAAGAGAAGCGACCUCGCGAGAGCAAGCGGACCUCAUAAAGUGCGUCGUAGUCCGGAUUGGAGUCUGCAACUCGACUCCAUGAAGUCGGAAUCGCUAGUAAUCGUGGAUCAGAAUGCCACGGUGAAUACGUUCCCGGGCCUUGUACACACCGCCCGUCACACCAUGGGAGUGGGUUGCAAAAGAAGUAGGUAGCUUAACCUUCGGGAGGGCGCUUACCACUUUGUGAUUCAUGACUGGGGUGAAGUCGUAACAAGGUAACCGUAGGGGAACCUGCGGUUGGA